ACCCAGCUGAUGAGUCACAAAUAGGACGAAACGCGCGUCGUGGAU
Schistosoma rodhaini is the source of this 45-nucleotide non-coding RNA. The record is from Rfam. NCBI's taxonomy places the organism in Eukaryota, Metazoa, Platyhelminthes, Trematoda, Strigeidida, Schistosomatidae.